CCGCCUCCCGGGGGCGCGCAGGCUCCGGCCCAGCGGCUGCGGCCGCCCCCGCUGUGGGGGGUCUCGGCGGCGGGGCCCACCCCGCACCCGCGGGCCGAGGGGGCGGCGGUGGAGGCGUAGGCCGGGGCUUGGCCGCUGUGCAAGGCCCCUGUGCGUGUCUCCCCGUCCGGCGGGCGGGCUGUUCCGGUGAAGUUGGGAGACACCUCUUGUAAAAAUCCAGAGCUCUCCCCUCUCUUGCAGUAGCAGUAAUGUACGUGCCUCUCCCCGUGAGGUGGCGUGGAACAGCGAUGCUGAAGGAAACACUGACCUUUUUGGUUCGAUUUACCGGAGAGGGGCUUGGACAAUGCAGUGGUCAACUUGCUGAUUGCCAGUCUGCUUUGCUGCUCCAACCUGUGCACUGUUCGGUGAGGUCAGGUGUAGGAACAGGAAUCAGAAGGAUGACAUUCCAAGAACAGGAGUAAUACAUAGAUGGAUGGAAUCAAAUUUCUUUCCCCAUAAUUUUUAAUGUUUGGGUGACGCUGAGAGACAUUUGAUUGGGCAGAGGCAGUCUGGAGUCACUCUUCCCAGAGUCGUGCAGCAGAACCACAACAGGUAACAGUCACAAGUUGCAGCAGGAAAAUUUGUCUAACUAUAAAGAAAUUACUUCUCCCAUGAAGACAGUUAAGCACUGGAAUCAGUUUCACAAGUUGUGGAAUGUCCAGCCUUGGAAGUAGUCAAAGCUUGACUGCACAAGAUAAAUUAAUCCCUUAAGAUCUAAAUUAUUCUGUGAUUCUGUUAAUUCAAAACUGUUUACAACACGGUGCCCGAUGUGUUGAUGUAGGAAGUGGUCUGCCUCUUUCUCAAAUGAAGUGCUCAGUUCUUCUCCUUCCACUGAGAUCAUUCCUCAUCCCUAUAACCAUUAGAUCCCAAAUGCCUAGAUGGCCAACUGCACUUGACGCCCAUGGAGGUUGCCCAGCCCCUGUUAAAACUGUCAUCCAGCUUCCCCAGGUCAGUAAGACUCCCAGUACUCAUUAUUCGAGUGCAAUUGCCUUUGUAUUACCUUAACGAACUAAGGACAAGCUCUGAAAGUACUACAGAAAUUGUAGAUGCUGCUGCUGGUCUGCAUUUUUAUAAGUAAAAUUGAAAAGUGAAAUAGAAAUAUUACUGUAGAGUGGCAAAAGACACAUGUAAAAAAGCAUGCCUAGGAAGAGUCAAGAUUAAUUUCUCAUAUUAUGCCUAUAAAUUCUUUAUUCCUACUGUUCUGCUAGCAGACCUCAGGAAAAAAAAGACAAUAUUAUUCCUAAUGGUAAACCAGAGAAAAAUAUAGCAGUAAAUUAAGUAACGCUUUGUGU
Molecule: long non-coding RNA, 1331 nt
Filed under: Calidris pygmaea (Spoon-billed sandpiper)
Lineage: Eukaryota; Metazoa; Chordata; Aves; Charadriiformes; Scolopacidae
Description: lncRNA (ENSCPGG00000005667.1)
Source: RNAcentral